GUGCUCGCUUUGGCAGCACAUAUACUAAAAUUGGAAUGAUACUGAGAAGAUUAGCAUGGCCCCUACGCAAGGAUGACACACAAAUUCGUGAAGCGUUCCAUUAAAAA
This is a small nuclear RNA of Otolemur garnettii (small-eared galago), 107 nucleotides long. NCBI's taxonomy places the organism in Eukaryota, Metazoa, Chordata, Mammalia, Primates, Galagidae. The record is from Ensembl.